UUAUAGUUACGUGUAUAUGAGUGACUACAAAUAAAUUAUUAAAGUCCAUAUGCAUCCAUGACUAAUUAUAUAAUGAUAUUAUUUUUCCAUUUUGAAUGUUUUUAUUCAAAAACUUAUUUAAACUAACAAACUUAUAUUUUGGUCAUUCAUUAUCACCUUUUCUUAGGUCUAGUGCCUAAGCUCACAUCACAACAAAUUAGAAAUUGGAUGGAUAAUUUCCUUUAUUCAAAGAGGAAAAAAAGGAAAGAAAACCCAACCAACCAAACAACAACACCACCAACAAAAAAGAAGGCAUUUUAUCUUCCUAUAAUGCACACUUUUUCUUAGGUCUAGUGCCUAAGAUCACAUCACAACAAAGAAUCAAAAACAGAAACUAAUCACAAAAGAAAAAAGAAAAAAAGAAAAGAAAAAGGAGAAGAUUCUUCGUCUUGAUAACAUGUAGUGGCACUACGGAGUUAAUGGAGAAUUGGCUAAAUGGCAAGCAGCACAUGAAAUGAAGGUGAUGGUGGUGUCAUUAUACAAAGGACCAAACCGUCCCAAUCUAGAAGAAGCAGUGCUGGCUUAGGGUUAGAGGGGCAUAUAUUCCCACGGGUCACUUAUGAGCCUAUCCUAAGUUGGUGUAUUUUUCUUCUUCUUGCAUGUGAAGUUUCAAUGUACUUCAUGUGAAGCCUGUCAUUGUAUUGUAGCCACCCAACACAAAAAUUUAACCAUAAUUUAUAGCGAGUUGCUUUCAUUUGAUGUAAUAAUGAUUUCUUAUUCUGUAAUACCUAAUAUACGGAUACGUGGUAUAACUCGUUUACGUGUUAUAACACGAGUGAAUAACAAUGUUAAGAUUUUCCACUUAUAUUAUAAGACGUGGAUGAGUUAUAUUGAUAUCACAGAUAUUAAACAUGAUCAUUAAUUUUAAUCAGAAUAUGAAAAUUUAAUACGUCAGAUUAUGCGGAAAGAAAAAAUUCCUUUUAUUACGAGACAAAUUCCUUUUAGUAUAAAAUUAGACGUUGAUGUGAUUAAAAGAUGUACAAUGGACCUUUAAUAUUGCAAAUUAUAUGUUGAGCAAAUAAGAAAAAGAAUGUCG
RNAcentral lists this long non-coding RNA (1075 nucleotides) under Prunus persica (peach). Its description in RNAcentral is "long non-coding RNA (PPER_LNC007266)". Lineage: Eukaryota; Viridiplantae; Streptophyta; Magnoliopsida; Rosales; Rosaceae. The record is from RNAcentral.